RNAcentral lists this long non-coding RNA (872 nucleotides) under Homo sapiens (human). RNAcentral's name for it is "HSALNT0393057". Lineage: Eukaryota; Metazoa; Chordata; Mammalia; Primates; Hominidae. The record is from RNAcentral.
AGAGAGGCUUGCAGGUCCAAACCACUGGUAGCAGCCCCUGGUAUAUCCAGGACAUCAGCACAUAGAACCAGUGAAAGGGUCCUCCCUCAUAGUGACGCAUGUCAUAGACUCAGAUUUAUACAAACAAAUGCUGAGCAAACCAUGAAGAGUCUCUGGUAUUUUCAACAAUAUCAUCACAGAGGAACUGUAUUGAUUUCCUUCCUUCAGUGGUCCAAGAACCUGCUGCUCCCGGGUCCUCUCAUUUGAAGACACCCACCGCCUAAGGAUGAAGAGAAGCUCCUUCUUGCAGAUCUGAGGCUGAUUUCCCAACUCCCAGGAACACCCUACCCACAGCCUGUUCCCCAGACCCAGAUGGGGUUUGCAGGAGCAAUGGCUGUAGGGACACUAAGAUUUCACCCUCCAGAAGACAGCAUCUUCCUGUGCCAUGGCUAGAUCACCAGCUACCCACAGACAGCCUGAACUCCAAUUGUCUUCCUGCACAUGUGCCUUUAAAGGAACUUUUCAAAUGUAGAGGAGCCUUUAGAAGGAAGCCUUGAGCAUGAGGACAGACCCCCCUCAUCCAACCACCACCUGACUCUGUGUGAACCUGGAACUGUUAGAAUGUCUGUGCUGUGAUAAAAGGUCAUCUCCCUACAAUGUUAUGAUACAGACCUCAAACCUACAAACAUGAGGAACUUCUGCCUCCAGGUUAACUGCUUACCCACUGUACAAGACACGUUACACACAGUCCAGGAGGCGGAGCUUCUGAGAUAUCUAGAAACAGCUUAGAGGCAAAAUGACAAAAUAAAGCAGCAACAACAAAUAAAACCAAUCUUCUCGAACUGGCUCUCGCUUUGGUCUAACUAGUUAUGCACUACUUGGAUAACUAUAUC